This 272-nucleotide ribosomal RNA is filed under the name uncultured bacterium. RNAcentral describes it as "partial 16S ribosomal RNA". It matches the Rfam family "Bacterial small subunit ribosomal RNA", at positions 524 to 794 of the family's 1533-position model. The record is from RNAcentral.
UACGGAGGGUGCGAGCGUUAAUCGGAAUUACUGGGCGUAAAGGGCGCGUAGGCGGCUGAUCAAGUCAGGUGUGAAAGCCCACGGCUUAACCGUGUGAAGUGCAUCUGAAACUGGUCGGCUUGAGUAUCGGAGAGGAAAGUGGAAUUCCCGGUGUAGAGGUGAAAUUCGUAGAUAUCAGGAGGAACACCGGUGGCGAAGGCGACUUCCUGGACCAAUACUGACGCUGAGGCGCGAAGGCGUGGGGAGCAAACAGGAUUAGAUACCCUUGUAGU